This 487-nucleotide ribosomal RNA is filed under the name uncultured bacterium. RNAcentral describes it as "bacterial SSU rRNA". It matches the Rfam family "Bacterial small subunit ribosomal RNA", at positions 501 to 987 of the family's 1533-position model. The record is from RNAcentral.
CUACGUGCCAGCAGCCGCGGUAAUACGUAGGUGGCAAGCGUUGUCCGGAAUUAUUGGGCGUAAAGCGCGCGCAGGCGGAUCUGCCAGUCUGUCUUAAAAGUUCGGGGCUCAACCCCGUGAUGGGAUGGAAACUACAGAUCUAGAGUAUCGGAGGGGAAAGUGGAAUUCCUAGUGUAGCGGUGAAAUGCGUAGAUAUUAGGAAGAACACCAGUGGCGAAGGCGACUUUCUGGACGAAAACUGACGCUGAGGCGCGAAAGCCAGGGGAGCGAACGGGAUUAGAUACCCCGGUAGUCCUGGCCGUAAACGAUGGGUACUAGGUGUAGGAGGUAUCGACCCCUUCUGUGCCGGAGUUAACGCAAUAAGUACCCCGCCUGGGGAGUACGACCGCAAGGUUGAAACUCAAAGGAAUUGACGGGGGCCCGCACAAGCGGUGGAGUAUGUGGUUUAAUUCGACGCAACGCGAAGAACCUUACCAGGUCUUGACAU